RNAcentral lists this unclassified non-coding RNA (326 nucleotides) under soil metagenome. RNAcentral's name for it is "partial contains 5.8S ribosomal RNA, internal transcribed spacer 2, and large subunit ribosomal RNA". The stretch from base 1 to 120 matches the Rfam family "5.8S ribosomal RNA", at positions 35 to 154 of the family's 154-position model. The record is from RNAcentral.
GAUGAAGAACGUAGCGAAAUGCGAUAAGUAAUGUGAAUUGCAGAAUUCAGUGAAUCAUCGAAUCUUUGAACGCACAUUGCGCCCCUUGGUAUUCCGAGGGGCAUGCCUAUUCGAGCGUCAUUAUCACCCCUCAAGCCUAGCUUGGUGUUGGGGCUUGCUGUAAAGGCAGCCUCUAAAAUCAGUGGCAGUGCUGUCAGGCUCUAAGCGUAGUAAAUUCAUCGCUAUAGGGUCCUGGUGGAUACUCGUCAAAGCCCCCCAUUUUUAAUGAUUGACCUCGGAUUAGGUAGGGAUACCCGCUGAACUUAAGCAUAUCAAUAAGCGGAGGA